CCUACGGGUGGCAGCAGUGGGGAAUAUUGGACAAUGGGGGGAACCCUGAUCCAGCCAUGCCGCGUGUGUGAAGAAGGCCCUCGGGUUGUAAAGCACUUUCAGUGAGGAAGAACGCCUGGUGGUUAAUACCCAUCAGGAAAGACAUCACUCACAGAAGAAGCACCGGCUAACUCCGUGCCAGCAGCCGCGGUAAUAGGGAGGGUGCGAGCGUUAAUCGGAAUUACUGGGCGUAAAGCGCGCGUAGGUGGCUUGAUAAGCCGGUUGUGAAAGCCCCGGGCUCAACCUGGGAACGGCAUCCGGAACUGUCAAGCUAGAGUGCAGGAGAGGAAGGUAGAAUUCCCGGUGUAGCGGUGAAAUGCGUAGAGAUCGGGAGGAAUACCAGUGGCGAAGGCGGCCUUCUGGACUGACACUGACACUGAGGUGCGAAAGCGUGGGUAGCAAACAGGAUUAGAUACCCCUGUAGUC
This 465-nucleotide ribosomal RNA is filed under the name Vreelandella stevensii. RNAcentral's name for it is "partial 16S ribosomal RNA". It matches the Rfam family "Bacterial small subunit ribosomal RNA", at positions 338 to 795 of the family's 1533-position model. The record is from RNAcentral. Lineage: Bacteria; Pseudomonadati; Pseudomonadota; Gammaproteobacteria; Oceanospirillales; Halomonadaceae.